CUUACCAUGCAGUCGAACGGCAGCACGGGAGCAAUCCUGGUGGCGAGUGGCGAACGGGUGAGUAAUACAUCGGAACGUGUCCUGGAGUGGGGGAUAGCCCGGCGAAAGCCGGAUUAAUACCGCAUACGCUCUGUGGAGGAAAGCGGGGGAUCUUUCGGGACCUCGCGCUCAAGGGGCGGCCGAUGGCAGAUUAGCUAGUUGGUGGGGUAAAGGCCUACCAAGGCGACGAUCUGUAGCUGGUCUGAGAGGACGACCAGCCACACUGGGACUGAGACACGGCCCAGACUCCUACGGGAGGCAGCAGUGGGGAAUUUUGGACAAUGGGCGCAAGCCUGAUCCAGCAAUGCCGCGUGUGUGAAGAAGGCCUUCGGGUUGUAAAGCACUUUUGUCCGGAAAGAAAACCUCUGGGUUAAUACCCCGGGGGGAUGACGGUACCGGAAGAAUAAGCACCGGCUAACUACGUGCCAGCAGCCGCGGUAAUACGUAGGGUGCGAGCGUUAAUCGGAAUUACUGGGCGUAAAGCGUGCGCAGGCGGUUCGUUAAGACAGAUGUGAAAUCCCCGGGCUUAACCUGGGAACUGCAUUUGUGACUGGCGGGCUAGAGUAUGGCAGAGGGGGGUAGAAUUCCACGUGUAGCAGUGAAAUGCGUAGAGAUGUGGAGGAAUACCGAUGGCGAAGGCAGCCCCCUGGGCCAAUACUGACGCUCAUGCACGAAAGCGUGGGGAGCAAACAGGAUUAGAUACCCUGGUAGUCCACGCCCUAAACGAUGUCAACUAGUUGUUGGGGAUUCAUUUCCUUAGUAACGUAGCUAACGCGUGAAGUUGACCGCCUGGAGAGUACGGUCGCAAGAUUAAAACUCAGAGAA
RNAcentral lists this ribosomal RNA (864 nucleotides) under Burkholderia sp. NAR7(3). Its description in RNAcentral is "bacterial SSU rRNA". It matches the Rfam family "Bacterial small subunit ribosomal RNA", at positions 48 to 908 of the family's 1533-position model. The record is from RNAcentral. Lineage: Bacteria; Pseudomonadati; Pseudomonadota; Betaproteobacteria; Burkholderiales; Burkholderiaceae.